GGAAUAUUCCACAAUGGGGGAAACCCUGACGGAGCAACGCCGCGUGAGUGAAGAAGGCCUUCGGGCCGUAAAGCUCUGUUGUCGGGGAAGAGUGCUAUGGGGGGACCUGUAGAGGGACGGUACCCGACGAGGAAGCCACGGCUAACUACGUGCCAGCAGCCGCGGUAAUACGUAGGUGGCAAGCGUUAUCCGGAUUUAUUGGGCGUAAAGCGAGCGCAGGCGGUUUCUUAAGUCUGAUGUGAAAGCCUUCGGCUUAACCGAAGAAGUGCAUCGGAAACUGGGAAACUUGAGUGCAGAAGAGGACAGUGGAACUCCAUGUGUAGCGGUGAAAUGCGUAGAUAUAUGGAAGAACACCAGUGGCGAAGGCGGCUGUCUGGUCUGUAACUGACGCUGAGGCUCGAAAGCAUGGGUAGCGAACA
This 419-nucleotide ribosomal RNA is filed under the name uncultured bacterium. RNAcentral's name for it is "bacterial SSU rRNA". It matches the Rfam family "Bacterial small subunit ribosomal RNA", at positions 358 to 774 of the family's 1533-position model. The record is from RNAcentral.